CAUGUCUUUUUGAUAAUAAUUUAAAGUCUAAUCUGCUCAAUGAGGAAUUAAAUUGCCGCGGUAUUUUGACCGUGCAAAGGUAGCAUAAUAAUUAGCUUCUUUAUUGGUAGCUGGAAUGAAUGAUUUGACGAGAAAAUAACUGUCUCUUUUUGAUUUAUUUUUGAAUUUAAUUUUUAAGUAAAAAAGCUUAAUUGUUUAUUAUAGACGAGAAGACCCUAUAGAGUUUAAUUAUUGAUUAUUCUUAGUUUUUUGGUAUUUAAUGAUUGGGGCUAAAAUUAAUUAUUUGGUUGGGGUGAUCAGAAGAUUUAUUAAACUCUUCUAUUUAAAAUCAUUAAUUUCUGAUUGUAUAAUCUAGUUUUAUUAAAUUUAAUAUAAAUUACCUUAGGGAUAACAGCGUAAUUUUUCUUAAAGUUCUUAUUGAAAGAAGAGUUUGCGACCUCGAUGUUGGAUUAAAAUUUAUUUUUGGUGCAGAAGCUGAAAUAUUAAGUCUGUUCGACUUUUAAAAUUUUACAUGAUCUGAGU
This 522-nucleotide ribosomal RNA is filed under the name Anchastus sp. UPOL RK0056. RNAcentral describes it as "partial 16S ribosomal RNA". It matches the Rfam family "Bacterial large subunit ribosomal RNA", at positions 1816 to 2610 of the family's 2925-position model. Lineage: Eukaryota; Metazoa; Arthropoda; Insecta; Coleoptera; Elateridae. The record is from RNAcentral.